ACAAUUAAAUAGUUUCAGGGUGCUUCUUUAAAAAGGAGUUAAAAGGGAAAGAGGUGUAAAUCCUCUACAGCCCCCGCUACUGUAAACAGGGAUGAAAUCUUCUAUAAUCCACUAGGAAACUGGGAAGGAGAAGAGAGUAAAGUGAACUGUAAGUCAGGAAACCUGCCAUGAAACGAGGUAACAA
Molecule: non-coding RNA, 184 nt
Filed under: Proteiniborus sp. DW1
Lineage: Bacteria; Bacillati; Bacillota; Clostridia; Eubacteriales
Also listed under: 1 other name
Source: RNAcentral